RNAcentral lists this ribosomal RNA (1000 nucleotides) under uncultured Desulfobacteraceae bacterium. RNAcentral's name for it is "bacterial SSU rRNA". It matches the Rfam family "Bacterial small subunit ribosomal RNA", at positions 46 to 1017 of the family's 1533-position model. Lineage: Bacteria; Pseudomonadati; Thermodesulfobacteriota; Desulfobacteria; Desulfobacterales; Desulfobacteraceae. The record is from RNAcentral.
GCUUACACAUGCAAGUCGCACGAGAACGCUUCAGCUUGCUGAAGUUAGUAAAGUGGCGCACGGGUGAGUAACGCGUGGGUAAUCUACCUCCGAAUUGGGGAUAACCCCGCGAAAGCGGGGCUAAUACCGGAUAGUAUCUUAAGAACCUCGGUUUUUUUGAUCAAAGGUGGCCUCUACAUGUAAGCUACUGUUUGGGGAUGAGCCCGCGUACCAUUAGCUUGUUGGUAGGGUAAUGGCCUACCAAGGCUACGAUGGUUAGCUGGUCUGAGAGGAUGAUCAGCCACACUGGAACUGACACACGGUCCAGACUCCUACGGGAGGCAGCAGUGAGGAAUUUUGCGCAAUGGGGGAAACCCUGACGCAGCAACGCCGCGUGAGUGAUGAAGGCUUUCGGGUCGUAAAGCUCUGUCAAGUGGGAAGAACCCACAUGGUGAUAAUACCAUCAUGUGCUGACGGUACCACUGAAGGAAGCACCGGCUAACUCCGUGCCAGCAGCCGCGGUAAUACGGGGGGUGCAAGCGUUAUUCGGAAUUACUGGGCGUAAAGAGCGCGUAGGCGGUCUCUUAAGUCAGGUGUGAAAGCCCGGGGCUUAACCCCGGAAGUGCACUUGAAACUAAGGGACUUGAGUAUGGGAGAGGGAAGUGGAAUUCCUGGUGUAGCGGUGAAAUGCGUAGAUAUCAGGAGGAACAUCGGUGGCGAAGGCGACUUCCUGGACCAAUACUGACGCUGAGGCGCGAAGGCGUGGGGGAGCAAACAGGAUUAGAUACCCUGGUAGUCCACGCAGUAAACGGUGAACACUAUGUGUAGCGGGUAUUGACCCCUGCUGUGCCGAAGCAAACGCAUUAAGUGUUCCGCCUGGGGAGUACGACCGCAAGGUUAAAACUCAAAGGAAUUGACGGGGGCCCGCACAAGCGGUGGAGCAUGUGGUUUAAUUCGACGUAACGCGAAGAACCUUACCUGGAUUUGACAUCCCGGGAAUCUUUUGGAAACUUGAGAGUGC